This 468-nucleotide ribosomal RNA is filed under the name uncultured bacterium. Its description in RNAcentral is "partial 16S ribosomal RNA". It matches the Rfam family "Bacterial small subunit ribosomal RNA", at positions 28 to 507 of the family's 1533-position model. The record is from RNAcentral.
GACGAACGCUGGCGGCGUGCUUAACACAUGCAAGUCGAACGGAAAGGCCCUGCUUUUGUGGGGUGCUCGAGUGGCGAACGGGUGAGUAACACGUGAGUAACCUGCCCUUGACUUUGGGAUAACUUCAGGAAACUGGGGCUAAUACCGGAUAUGAGCUCCUGCUGCAUGGUGGGGGUUGGAAAGUUUCGGCGGUUGGGGAUGGACUCGCGGCUUAUCAGCUUGUUGGUGAGGUAGUGGCUUACCAAGGCUUUGACGGGUAGCCGGCCUGAGAGGGUGACCGGCCACAUUGGGACUGAGAUACGGCCCAGACUCCUACGGGAGGCAGAAGUGGGGAAUAUUGCACAAUGGGCGGAAGCCUGAUGCAGCAACGCCGCGUGCGGGAUGACGGCCUUCGGGGUGUAAACCGCUUUCGCCUGUGACGAAGCGUGAGUGACGGUAAUGGGUAAAGAAGCACCGGCUAACUACGUG